RNAcentral lists this unclassified non-coding RNA (185 nucleotides) under uncultured Agaricomycetes. Its description in RNAcentral is "sequence contains ITS1". The record is from RNAcentral. Lineage: Eukaryota; Fungi; Basidiomycota; Agaricomycetes.
ACGAAUUUCAGGGGUUGUGCUGGUUCUUACAAGUGCACACCUCUUUAUUCCAUUCACACCCACCGUGCACUUUAAGAGACGUAUUUCCCCCGUUUACGUGCCUUUAUUGGCUUGGGAUUUCGUCUGUUAUAUACACACUCAUUAGUAUCAGAAUGUAAUAAAGCGGAAACGCUAAAACAUAAAUA